This 65-nucleotide transfer RNA is filed under the name Imerinia grandidieri. RNAcentral's name for it is "tRNA-Thr". The record is from RNAcentral. Lineage: Eukaryota; Metazoa; Mollusca; Gastropoda; Systellommatophora; Veronicellidae.
UCUUAAGUAGCUUAAAAUAAAGCAUUGACUUUGUAACUCAAGGAAGCCAUACGGUGCCUUAAGAU